GUUGUAUGGUUAAGUGACUAAGCGUACACGGUGGAUGCCUUGGCAGUCAGAGGCGAUGAAAGACGUAGUAACUUGCGAUAAGCCCAGAUUAGGUAGUAACAACCAUUUGAGUCUGGGAUUUCUGAAUGGGGAAACCCACUUACAUAAGUAAGUAUCAUUAACUGAAUACAUAGGUUAAUGAGGCGAACCGGGGGAACUGAAACAUCUAAGUACCCCGAGGAAAAGAAAUCAACCGAGAUUCCGAAAGUAGCGGCGAGCGAAAUUGGACUAGCCCUUAAGCUUUACACGCGUUAGACGAACGGUCUGGAAAGUCCGACGAUACAGGGUGAUAGUCCCGUAGUUGACGACGUGUGUUCAGUGAAAUCGAGUAGGGCGGGACACGUGAUAUCCUGUCUGAAUAUGGGGGG
RNAcentral lists this ribosomal RNA (407 nucleotides) under Vibrio parahaemolyticus. RNAcentral describes it as "partial 23S ribosomal RNA". It matches the Rfam family "Bacterial large subunit ribosomal RNA", at positions 1 to 451 of the family's 2925-position model. The record is from RNAcentral. Lineage: Bacteria; Pseudomonadati; Pseudomonadota; Gammaproteobacteria; Vibrionales; Vibrionaceae.